AUUGAACGCUGGCGGCAUGCUUUACACAUGCAAGUCGAACGGCAGCGGGGACUUCGGUCCGCCGGCGAGUGGCGAACGGGUGAGUAAUGCAUCGGAACGUGCCUAUCAGUGGGGGAUAACGCUUCGAAAGGAGUGCUAAUACCGCAUAUUCUCUGAGGAGGGAAGCAGGGGACCUUCGGGCCUUGCGCUGAUAGAGCGGCCGAUGUCGGAUUAGCUAGUUGGUGAGGUAAAGGCUCACCAAGGCGACGAUCCGUAGCGGGUCUGAGAGGAUGAUCCGCCACACUGGGACUGAGACACGGCCCAGACUCCUACGGGAGGCAGCAGUGGGGAAUUUUGGACAAUGGGCGAAAGCCUGAUCCAGCCAUGCCGCGUGAGUGAAGAAGGCCUUCGGGUUGUAAAGCUCUUUUGUCCGGGAGGAAAUCCUGGCCUCUAAUACAGGUCGGGGAUGACAGUACUGGAAGAAUAAGCACCGGCUAACUACGUGCCAGCCGCCGCUGUAA
RNAcentral lists this ribosomal RNA (500 nucleotides) under uncultured bacterium. RNAcentral's name for it is "partial 16S ribosomal RNA". It matches the Rfam family "Bacterial small subunit ribosomal RNA", at positions 30 to 523 of the family's 1533-position model. The record is from RNAcentral.